UUCCGGUUGAUCCUGCCGGACCCUACUGCUAUCGGGGGAGGACUAAAACAUGCAAGUCGUGCGCCUCCAAGCCAUGGUGGAGACGCGGCAUCCGGCUCAGUAACACGUGGCUAACCCACCCUUGAGACGGAGAAAACCCCGGGAAACUGGGGUUAAUCUCCGAUAAGAGAAGACACCUGGAAUGGGUCUCCUCUCAAAGGGCGCCUAGACCAUGCUUCUGGAUGUCGCCAAAGGAUGGGGCCGCGGCCGAUCAGGUUGUUGGUGAGGUAACGGCUCACCAAGCCUAUAACCGGUACGGGCCGUGAGAGCGGGAGCCCGGAGAUGGGCACUGAGACAAGGGCCCAGGCCCUACGGGGCGCAGCAGUUGCGAAAACUCCGCAAUGCGCGAAAGCGUGACGGGGCUACCCCGAGUGCCGUCCGCUGAGGAUGGCUUUUCCGCGGUGUAAGGAGCCGUGGGAAUAAGGAGAGGGCAAGACUGGUGUCAGCCGCCGCGGUAAUACCAGCUCUCCGAGUGGUGGGGAUGAUUAUUGGGCUUAAAGCGUUCGUAGCCGGCCUGGCAAGUCUUCCGUUAAAUCCAGCGGCCUAAUCGUUGGACUGCGGGAGAUACUGUUAGGCUAGGGGGCGGGAGAAGCCGACGGUACUCUCGGGGUAGGGGUGAAAUCCUGUAAUCUCGGGAGGACCACCAGUGGCGAAGGCGGUCGGCUAGAACGCGCCCGACGGUGAGGGACGAAAGCUGGGGGAGCGAACCGGAUUAGAUACCCGGGUAGUCCCAGCAGUAAACGAUGCGGGCUAGGUGCUGGGGCGGCUACGAGCCGCUUCGGUGCCGCACGGAAGCAAUUAAGCCCGCCGCCUGGGG
This 856-nucleotide ribosomal RNA is filed under the name uncultured archaeon. Its description in RNAcentral is "bacterial SSU rRNA". It matches the Rfam family "Archaeal small subunit ribosomal RNA", at positions 1 to 833 of the family's 1478-position model. The record is from RNAcentral.